CGUCGACUCGUUCCUCCGUACAAUUCGAGAUGGUCUCCGUCGGUCGUCGUUGGAUCUGGGCCCUUCUGGCCUCCUUGUUGCUACUCCACACCCUGGCAGAGGCCGGAAGAGGCAAGGAGAUAAUGAGCAAAAUCAAGAAAAAGCUAGCCGAUGGUAUUUAUUUUCCUUCUUAUCUCUACGUUCUUACUCUUAUCAAUUUCUGUUCAUAUUCGUCUACUCCGACCUUGUUUAUUAAUAGGACCUUAAUAGCUUAUACCGGUGUAUUUUCCGAAUGGCAAAGAGAGGAGUUUUUAGUCGAAAGUCAAAACAAAAUAAAAAUAAAGAUACUUUGUUGUUCCGUUCCGUCCUGUUAAUAAACGAGGUCCGAGUAGACGAAGAUACAAACAGAAAUUGCUAUUUAUUUCCGUUGGCGCCCGCUUCUUCCGCCCGGACCGUCUCCGGCCUCCCCUCCGCCGAAGCGGGAGAAAAGGAGGCUAGGGGAGAAUUAGCGUCCGGUCUCUUCCGCUCUUUUCCCGUUUCGGCAAUUCCGUGGAAAUUGUUUCGUCGGUGGCCGCUGGAUUCGGGCCCUCCGUAGAAAUUAGCCGUGGUCGGGCAUUUUUAAACAGGCAAAAAGAAGGCCGCCUCCCGCUUACUCCGUGGUCCGUCUUCAAACGCGGUAAACGUCGACUCGGACGGAAGGCUCCGAAACGGGCGAUUACAAUUAAAACCUGGUAGAAUUGUUUGUAACCGGGCCCAAAAGUCUGGGGUGCGGCCCCGCGUCGGAUGCUUCGGCGUUAGAACCGGGAAGAACGAGACGGAACAAAAAGGCGGAGUUCGCCUUAGGCCCGAAACUAGCCGGCGCGGAAGAACGAGCCAACGGAGUAGAUCGGGGGCCCCCUAGACCCACGUCGGUCCACGCCUCCGG
Long non-coding RNA from Centruroides sculpturatus (bark scorpion), 904 nucleotides. RefSeq lists it as uncharacterized. The transcript has 3 exons. NCBI's taxonomy places the organism in Eukaryota, Metazoa, Arthropoda, Arachnida, Scorpiones, Buthidae. The record is from RefSeq and is a predicted model, not a curated record.